Molecule: long non-coding RNA, 1041 nt
Organism: Melanotaenia boesemani (Boeseman's rainbowfish)
Lineage: Eukaryota; Metazoa; Chordata; Actinopteri; Atheriniformes; Melanotaeniidae
Exons: 2
Source: RefSeq, a predicted model, not a curated record
GCCCUUAAUUAAUUAAUGUGAUUGUUUUACUAAAAAAUACUACUACUACAAUAUUGAAUUUCCCUUUGGGAUUAAUACAGUAUUUUUCAUUUCAUUCAUUUCAUUUCAUUUCAUUUCAUUUCAUGAUUUAAGUAGUCACUGUGUGCUAACGUUAUGUCAUUUUGCAGACAAUGAAGAGAAAGUCUUCCAAAGAUAUUGCCUCCUUCUUCUCUAAGAGACAGUUACAGGAGAGCAGCACAGAGCUAAUGCUAGGCAGCCAGAGAAAGAAUCAGAGAUAGAGAAUGACACUGUGGCUACACCUGAAGGCAACUUAAGCCAACAGCAAAUGUUUCCCUGACUUCUAUGGACGUCAGUUGUACUAGAUUUAUUUCUCAGAACAAUAUCACAGAGUUGAUUGAAUCCUAGACCUUUUCUUGGAGUGUAAUAUUACCGUCCUUGUGCUUCUUCCUUAACUGUUAUUCGUCUAUUACUCCAGCUUUAGCUUGUAAUGUUGAGUGUAGUGCUGUGUUGACAAGAAUUUCUCUUCUGGGGAUGAAUAGUUAUAUUUAAAAAUGAUAUCCUGAUGUUAUAAUCUGGGGGCUGUAGUAACAACCGGAGACUAAAUCAUCUUAUAGAAACAGCAGGCUCUGUUUAUUUUCAUUUGAUGAUCAAUAGCUUUUACAGUAGAGGGUUUAGAACAGCUGGAUCCCGACCAGCCCAGGCCUCCAGGUAGUGGACCUGCUCAUGGACGAGCAGACAUGUCCCAGUCACGAGCAGAUGGACCAAAACAGCCAUAUCUAAAGGUUUACCCAUGGACUAUGUACAACGACAGGAGAUGGGGCUUCAACUACAAGUAGUUCUCCAUUCAUAAGUGGUUGGAGUAUAAUAAUUUCCAUGUUUACUGCUUGUUGGUCACACAGAUCCCUGAGUGAGUGAGUGAAUUUUUGCCCUCUCUCUGCCAUUUUGCCCCUGUAAUUUUGUCUUUGGUCACAAAUAUUGCUGAAAUAAACACAUGAGAAUGUAAAUAAAUGCAAAUUGAUAAUAAAUGUACAAUCUAAUGGA